This 406-nucleotide ribosomal RNA is filed under the name uncultured bacterium. Its description in RNAcentral is "bacterial SSU rRNA". It matches the Rfam family "Bacterial small subunit ribosomal RNA", at positions 8 to 444 of the family's 1533-position model. The record is from RNAcentral.
AGAGUUUGAUCCUGGCUCAGAACGAACGCUGGCGGCAGGCUUAACACAUGCAAGUCGAGCGCCCCGCAAGGGGAGCGGCAGACGGGUGAGUAACGCGUGGGAAACUACCCUUUGGUACGGAACAACUCCGGGAAACUGGAGCUAAUACCGUAUGUGCCCUUCGGGGGAAAGAUUUAUCGCCAUAGGAUGUGCCCGCGUAGGAUUAGCUAGUUGGCGGGGUAAUGGCCCACCAAGGCGACGAUCCUUAGCUGGUCUGAGAGGAUGAUCAGCCACACUGGGACUGAGACACGGCCCAGACUCCUACGGGAGGCAGCAGUGGGGAAUAUUGGACAAUGGGCGCAAGCCUGAUCCAGCCAUGCCGCGUGAGUGAUGAAGGCCUUAGGGUUGUAAAGCUCUUUCGCACGCG